UACUCCCCCCCCUGUGUCGCCCUUCGCCCUCCCCCACCGACCUGCAUAACGCGAAGAACCUUACCUAGGCUUGACAUGCACUGUGUCUACGGUGAAAGCCGUAUAGUGUGGCAAUACACGCUUUGCACAGGUGCUGCAUGGCUGUCGUCAGCUCGUGUCGUGAGAUGUUGGGUUAACGUCCCGCAACGAGCGACCAACCCCCUGUGAUUUGUUCGCCACCGGAGCAAGUCCGGGCACUCGAAUCAGACUCGCCCAGAUCAACGUGGGAGGAAGGUGGGGAUGACGUCAAGUCCGUAUGGCCCUUACGCCUAGGGCUGCACACGUACUACAAUGCCCAGUACAAUGUGAACCGAGACCGCGAGGUGGAGGAAAUCAAUAAAACUGGGCCCAGUUCAGAUUGUAGGCUGCAACUCGCCUACAUGAAGUCGGAAUCGCUAGUAAUGGCGCAUCAGCAACGGCGCCGUGAAUACGUUCCCGGGUCUUGUACACACCG
Molecule: ribosomal RNA, 493 nt
Filed under: uncultured bacterium
Lineage: Bacteria
Description: bacterial SSU rRNA
Rfam family: Bacterial small subunit ribosomal RNA
Source: RNAcentral